CCUACGGGAGGCAGCAGUGAGGAAUAUUGGUCAAUGGGCGCGAGCCUGAACCAGCCAAGUAGCGUGAAGGAUGACUGCCCUACGGGUUGUAAACUUCUUUUAUAAAGGAAUAAAGUGAGGCACGUGUGCCUUUUUGUAUGUACUUUAUGCAUAAGGCUCGGCUAACUCCGUGCCAGCAGCCGCGGUAAUACGGAGGAUCCGAGCGUUAUCCGGAUUUAGUGGUUUUAAAGGGAGCGUAGAUGGGUUGUUAAGUCAGUUGUGAAAGUUUGCGGCUCAACCGUAAAAUUGCAAUUGAUACUGGAAGCCUUGAGAGCAGUUGAGGUAGGCGGAAUGCGUGGUGUAGCGGGGAAAUGCUUAGAUAGCACGAAGAACUCCGAUGGCGAAGGCAGCCUACUAAACUGCCACUGACAUUGAUGCUCGAAAGUGUGGGUAUCAAACAGGAUUAGAUACCCCAGUAGUC
RNAcentral lists this ribosomal RNA (460 nucleotides) under uncultured bacterium. RNAcentral's name for it is "partial 16S ribosomal RNA". It matches the Rfam family "Bacterial small subunit ribosomal RNA", at positions 338 to 795 of the family's 1533-position model. The record is from RNAcentral.